UCGCACGAGAAAGGGUAGCAAUACCUGAGUAAAGUGGCGCACGGGUGAGUAACACGUGACUAAUCUACCCUCGAGUGGGGAAUAACUGAGAGAAAUCUUAGCUAAUACCGCAUAACACUUACGAGUCAAAGCAGCAAUGCGCUUGGGGAGGAGGUCGCGGCCGAUUAGCUAGUUGGCGGGGUAAUGGCCCACCAAGGCGAUGAUCGGUAUCCGGCCUGAGAGGGCGCACGGACACACUGGAACUGAAACACGGUCCAGACUCCUACGGGAGGCAGCAGUGGGGAAUUUUGCGCAAUGGGGGAAACCCUGACGCAGCAACGCCGCGUGGAGGAUGAAAUAUCUUGGUAUGUAAACUCCUUUCGAUGGGGAAGAUAAUGACGGUACCCAUAGAAGAAGCCCCGGCUAACUUCGUGCCAGCAGCCGCGGUAAUACGAGGGGGGCAAGCGUUGUUCGGAUUUAUUGGGCGUAAAGGGUGCGUAGGCGGUUUGGCAAGUCUUAUGUGAAAUCUUCGGGCUCAACCCGAAGCCUGCAUAAGAAACUGCCGGGCUUGAGUAUUGGAGAGGUGAGUGGAAUUUCCGGUGUAGCGGUGAAAUGCGUAGAUAUCGGAAGGAACACCUGUGGCGAAAGCGGCUCACUGGACAAUAACUGACGCUGAUGCACGAAAGCUAGGGGAGCAAACAGGAUUAGAUACCCUGGUAGUCCUAGCCCUAAACGAUGAUUGCUUGGUGU
Molecule: ribosomal RNA, 729 nt
Filed under: uncultured bacterium
Lineage: Bacteria
Description: bacterial SSU rRNA
Rfam family: Bacterial small subunit ribosomal RNA
Source: RNAcentral